AUCCGCGUGGGGAAGCGCCCGGGGUGGCCACGCGGGGCCCGGAGGGUGUCGCCCUCGCGGCACCGGAGUCAAGGAGAAGGGAACGAAUCCCCAAGGAAGAAUCCGAAAUGUCCUCAGCCAGGUUUGCGCUGACCGCCCUCGCCCUGGCAGCCACAGCCGCAGCGGGAAGGACCACAGUUGGCAGUCAGAACCCUGGCUCCAACCCGCCAGGGGAGCCUGGACGGCCGCGACGUUCCCGGGUUUCUCCUGCCGGGACCCCGGCCUUCCCUUCAGCACCCAUCAAAGUUAACACAGGCAGGAGGCCCAGAAAGGAAGACAAGACCCCAAAGGCAGAACUAAGAGUAUUCUAAGCCCAGCUGGAGAGGACGCCGCCGCCUCUUCCCCUUCUCACGCGCUUGCCUAGGACCCCCAGCUCCCUUCUCACGCGCUUGCCCAGGCUGGCGGUCCCAACUUUCUUCCCCUGCAAGAGGACGCGGCUACGGCGGGACUCAUGCCCGGGCCAGUUAGCGCCACCUACCGGCCACUCCCUUCCUUUCACCGUUCACAUUGUCCUGCUGGCCCGCGUCUUAAACCCAUUUCACAGUGCCCAGAAGUAGUGGGCAUUCGUACCCAGGAAGCGAUUCUGCCUUCGUUAUGCCCCUGUCCUUUCCAAAUGCCUGGAGGAUCUAGCUGUUAGAUCCUCCCAGCUGCCACUGCCUGUUUUAACCAUAAGCUGCUUCUCUCGAAUAUUCAGAGUGGGACAACUCCAAAGACCAGACCAGGGGUCAAGGGGUUCAGGUCAGUGCCAUAACCAUUUCUUGCUGGAAGUAUGUGAAUAGUGACUGGUACCCACCAGACUGCCAGGAAUAUGUCUCUUUGGCCCCAAGGCUUGAGCCACAAAAUCCAGCUGCAGCGAACUGCCAUCUCUUAAGACAUAAAAACAUACACAACCGCCACUGUUAAAAAUACAUUUAUCAUUAAAAUAUAUUACACAUGGAGACAGGAUGCAUCAUAUACAGUUUGGAAGACUUGCUGGCCCAGAAAAUCCCACUUGUUUCACCGAACACUCAUUUUUUCAGUGAUUUUACAUUUUAUUUUUAGAGACGGGGUCUCCCUCUCUCACCCGGGCUGGCGUACAGUGAUGUGGUCAUAGGUCACUGCAGCCUCAAACUCCUGUGCUCAAGUGAGCCACCCACGUCAGCCUCCCAAGUAACUGGGACCACAGGCAUGCAUCACCACACCCAGCUAAUUUUUUAAAAAUGUUUUUGUAGAGAGGGGGUCUCCCUGUGUUGCCCAGCCUGGUCCCAAACUCCUGGUCUCAAGUGAUGCUCCCACCUCAGUCUCCCAAAGCAGGUGGAUCACCUGAGGCCAGGCAUUCGAGACCAGCCUGGCCAACAUGGUGAAACCGUGUCUAUACUAAAAACACACAAAAAAA
RNAcentral lists this long non-coding RNA (1414 nucleotides) under Homo sapiens (human). RNAcentral's name for it is "non-protein coding lnc-C1orf122-1:2". The record is from RNAcentral. Lineage: Eukaryota; Metazoa; Chordata; Mammalia; Primates; Hominidae.